UGAGGUUUUGGCUUAGUGGUACAGCUCUUGCCUAGCACGUACGAAGCCCUGGGUUCAAUCCUCAGCACCACAU
This 73-nucleotide transfer RNA is filed under the name Marmota monax (woodchuck). RNAcentral's name for it is "tRNA.Ala". Lineage: Eukaryota; Metazoa; Chordata; Mammalia; Rodentia; Sciuridae. The record is from RNAcentral.